AACGAACGCUGGCGGCAUGCCUAACACAUGCAAGUCGAACGAGACCUUCGGGUCUAGCGGCGCACGGGUGCGUAACGCGUGGGAACCUGCCCUUAGGUUCGGAAUAACUCCCCGAAAGGGGUGCUAAUACCGGAUAAUGUCUUCGGACCAAAGAUUUAUCGCCUUUGGAUGGGCCCGCGUUGGAUUAGCUAGUUGGUAGGGUAAAAGUCUACCAAGGCGACGAUCCAUAGCUGGUCUGAGAGGAUGAUCAGCCACACUGGGACUGAGACACGGCCCAGACUCCUACGGGAGGCAGCAGUGGGGAAUAUUGGACAAUGGGCGAAAGCCUGAUCCAGCAAUGCCGCGUGAGUGAUGAAGGCCUUAGGGUUGUAAAGCUCUUUUACCCGGGAUGAUAAUGACAGUACCGGGAGAAUAAGCUCCGGCUAACUCCGUG
RNAcentral lists this ribosomal RNA (433 nucleotides) under uncultured bacterium. RNAcentral's name for it is "partial 16S ribosomal RNA". It matches the Rfam family "Bacterial small subunit ribosomal RNA", at positions 29 to 507 of the family's 1533-position model. The record is from RNAcentral.